GAUGAACGCUGGCGGCGUGCCUAAUACAUGCAAGUCGAGCGAACAGACGAGGAGCUUGCUCCUCUGACGUUAGCGGCGGACGGGUGAGUAACACGUGGAUAACCUACCUAUAAGACUGGGAUAACUUCGGGAAACCGGAGCUAAUACCGGAUAAUAUAUUGAACCGCAUGGUUCAAUAGUGAAAGACGGUUUUGCUGUCACUUAUAGAUGGAUCCGCGCCGCAUUAGCUAGUUGGUAAGGUAACGGCUUACCAAGGCGACGAUGCUUAGCCGACCUGAGAGGGUGAUCGGCCACACUGGAACUGAGACACGGUCCAGACUCCUACGGGAGGCAGCAGUAGGGAAUCUUCCGCAAUGGGCGAAAGCCUGACGGAGCAACGCCGCGUGAGUGAUGAAGGUCUUCGGAUCGUAAAACUCUGUUAUUAGGGAAGAACAAAUGUGUAAGUAACUAUGCACAUCUUGACGGUACCUAAUCAGAAAGCCACGGCUAACUACGUG
Molecule: ribosomal RNA, 497 nt
Filed under: uncultured bacterium
Lineage: Bacteria
Description: partial 16S ribosomal RNA
Rfam family: Bacterial small subunit ribosomal RNA
Source: RNAcentral